UGUGGAUCUACUGCUCAGGAUGGCCCUGUUCCACCAGGGCAGUCAAUGAGAAAAUUGGAAAGGAACAGGGUCUCUUGGCAUCAGGGGAGCUGCAGCUCUGCCCCUCAAAGUGAAUCUGGAGACUCUACAGCA
This is a small nucleolar RNA of Sorex fumeus (smoky shrew), 132 nucleotides long. RefSeq annotates it as small nucleolar RNA SNORA68. The transcript has a single exon. NCBI's taxonomy places the organism in Eukaryota, Metazoa, Chordata, Mammalia, Eulipotyphla, Soricidae. The record is from RefSeq and is a predicted model, not a curated record.